UCAGCCGCUGUCACACGCACAG
RNAcentral lists this microRNA (22 nucleotides) under Rattus norvegicus (Norway rat). RNAcentral describes it as "rno-miR-3574". The record is from miRBase by way of RNAcentral. Lineage: Eukaryota; Metazoa; Chordata; Mammalia; Rodentia; Muridae.